CAAUAAAUACCUUACAGAGGUCUCGUUAACCGAGAUCUCUCAAACGGAAUGAGUACAACGUGAAUCCUUUAACGAGGAUCGACUGGAGGGCAAGCCUGGUGCCAGCAGCCGCGGUAAUUCCAGCUCCAGUAGCGUAUAUUAAAGCUGUUGCGGUUAAAAAGCUCGUAGUUGGAUAUCAGUGCGUGUCCGGUCCGGUAUGCCCGGCGGCGGCGCUCGCGCGUCACUGCUGGGCUCCCAAAUAUCGGCUGGCCGCAUUCAAUCGUGCCGGAUCCGUCGACGGGCCGUUCUUCGGAGGGGCCUGUUGGCGACCGGCGACGUUACCUUGAACAAAUUAGAGUGCUCAAAGCAGGCUCUGAAUGCCUGUAUACAUAUUCAUGGAAUUGGAGAAUACGUCCCUGGCUCGAUUUGGUUGGUUUUGAGAGUCGAAGGGAAAUGAUUAAUAGGGACUGACGGAGGCAUUCGUAUUGCGACGCGAGGGGUGAAAUCCUGUGACCGUCGCACGACGAACUACUGCGAAAGCAUUUGCCGAGAAUGUUUUCAUUAGUCAAGAACGAAAGUUAGAGGUUCGAAGGCGAUCAGAUACCGCCCUAGUUCUAACCGUAAACGAUGUCGACCAGCAAUCCGCAACGGUCACUACACGGACUGUGCGGGCAGCUUCCCCGGGGAAACCAGAGUGUAUGGACUCCGGGGGAAGUAUGGUUGCAAAGCUGAAACUUAAAGGAAUUGACGGAAGGGCACCACCAGGAGUGGAGCUUGCGGCUUAAUUUGACUCAACACGGGACAACUCACCAGGCCCGGACACCGUAAGGAUUGACAGACUGAUAGCUCUCUCUUGAUUCAGUGGGUGGUGGUGCAUGGCCGUUCUUAGUUGGUGGAGUGAUUUGUCUGGUUUAUUCCGAUAACGAACGAGACUCUGGCCUAUUAAACUUGACGCCGUCAGUCUCUUGUGACUGCG
Molecule: ribosomal RNA, 955 nt
Filed under: Chthamalus moro
Lineage: Eukaryota; Metazoa; Arthropoda; Thecostraca; Balanomorpha; Chthamalidae
Description: SSU rRNA
Rfam family: Eukaryotic small subunit ribosomal RNA
Source: RNAcentral